GACGAACGCUGGCGGCGUGCUUAACACAUGCAAGUCGAACGGAAAGGCCCUGCUUUUGUGGGGUGCUCGAGUGGCGAACGGGUGAGUAACACGUGAGUAACCUGCCCUUGACUUUGGGAUAACUUCAGGAAACUGGGGCUAAUACCGGAUAGGAGCUCCUGCUGCAUGGUGGGGGUUGGAAAGUUUCGGCGGUUGGGGAUGGACUCGCGGCUUAUCAGCUUGUUGGUGGGGUAGUGGCUUACCAAGGCUUUGACGGGUAGCCGGCCUGAGAGGGUGACCGGCCACAUUGGGACUAAGAUACGGCCCGGACUCCUACGGGAGGCAGCAGUGGGGAAUAUUGCACAAUGGGCGGAAGCCUGAUGCAGCAACGCCGCGUGCGGGAUGACGGCCUUCGGGUUGUAAACCGCUUUCGCCUGUGACGAAGCGUGAGUGACGGUAAUGGGUAAAGAAGCACCGGCUAACUACGUG
RNAcentral lists this ribosomal RNA (468 nucleotides) under uncultured bacterium. Its description in RNAcentral is "partial 16S ribosomal RNA". It matches the Rfam family "Bacterial small subunit ribosomal RNA", at positions 28 to 507 of the family's 1533-position model. The record is from RNAcentral.